CCUACGGGAGGCAGCAGUGGGGAAUAUUGGACAAUGGGGGGAACCCUGAUCCAGCCAUGCCGCGUGUGUGAAGAAGGCCCUCGGGUUGUAAAGCACUUUCAGUGAGGAAGAACGCCUGGUGGUUAAUACCCAUCAGGAAAGACAUCACUCACAGAAGAAGCACCGGCUAACUCCGUGCCAGCAGCCGCGGUAAUACGGAGGGUGCGAGCGUUAAUCGGAAUUACUGGGCGUAAGGCGCGCGUAGGUGGCUUGAUAAGCCGGUUGUGAAAGCCCCGGGCUCAACCUGGGAACGGCAUCCGGAACUGUCAAGCUAGAGUGCAGGAGAGGAAGGUAGAAUUCCCGGUGUAGCGGUGAAAUGCGUAGAGAUCGGGAGGAAUACCAGUGGCGAAGGCGGCCUUCUGGACUGACACUGACACUGAGGUGCGAAAGCGUGGGUAGCAAACAGGAUUAGAUACCCUUGUAGUC
This 465-nucleotide ribosomal RNA is filed under the name Vreelandella stevensii. RNAcentral describes it as "partial 16S ribosomal RNA". It matches the Rfam family "Bacterial small subunit ribosomal RNA", at positions 338 to 795 of the family's 1533-position model. Lineage: Bacteria; Pseudomonadati; Pseudomonadota; Gammaproteobacteria; Oceanospirillales; Halomonadaceae. The record is from RNAcentral.